CCGUCCUCUGUAUUCCCAGGACUGUCCAGAGGAGAAGCUCCCAGAGAACCAUCAGGAUAAAAAUCUGAUGGAUAUUAAGGUUGAGGUUAAAGUUGAAGAAGAGGAGAUGGAUUUAUGUAGCGCUCAUCAAUAUGGACUCAUAGAAAGAAAUACCCCCGAGAGAUGUUUCCGUCCUCUGUAUUCCCAGGACUGUCCAGAGGAGAAGCUCCCAGAGAACCAUCAGAUGACAAAUCAGGGGGAAGAUGUGACUGAUAUUAAGGUGAAGAAUGAGCGGAUGAUGG
Bufo gargarizans (Asiatic toad) is the source of this 281-nucleotide long non-coding RNA. RefSeq lists it as uncharacterized. The record is from RefSeq and is a predicted model, not a curated record. NCBI's taxonomy places the organism in Eukaryota, Metazoa, Chordata, Amphibia, Anura, Bufonidae. The transcript is spliced from 4 exons.